This 465-nucleotide ribosomal RNA is filed under the name uncultured bacterium. Its description in RNAcentral is "partial 16S ribosomal RNA". It matches the Rfam family "Bacterial small subunit ribosomal RNA", at positions 28 to 507 of the family's 1533-position model. The record is from RNAcentral.
GACGAACGCUGGCGGCGUGCUUAACACAUGCAAGUCGAACGGAAAGGCCCCUUUGGGGGUACUCGAGUGGCGAACGGGUGAGUAACACGUGAGUAACCUGCCCUUGACUUCGGGAUAACUUCAGGAAACUGGGGCUAAUACCGGAUAGGAAUCUUUGCUGCAUGGUGGGGGUUGGAAAGCUUCGGCGGUUUUGGAUGGACUCGCGGCUUAUCAGCUUGUUGGUGGGGUAGUGGCUUACCAAGGCUUUGACGGGUAGCCGGCCUGAGAGGGCGACCGGCCACAUUGGGACUGAGAUACGGCCCAGACUCCUACGGGAGGCAGCAGUGGGGAAUAUUGCACAAUGGGCGGAAGCCUGAUGCAGCACCGCCGCGUGCGGGAUGACGGCCUUCGGGUUGUAAACCGCUUUCAGCAGGGGCGAAGCUUGUGGUGACGGUACCUGCAGAAGAAGCACCGGCUAACUACGUG